Molecule: unclassified non-coding RNA, 300 nt
Filed under: uncultured Ascomycota
Lineage: Eukaryota; Fungi; Ascomycota
Description: sequence contains 5.8S rRNA gene, ITS2
Rfam family: 5.8S ribosomal RNA (bases 1-100)
Source: RNAcentral
CGGCAGCGUAAGAUGUGUAUAAGAGACAGGUGAAUCAUCGAAUCUUUGAACGCAUAUUGCGCCCUUUGGCAUUCCGAAGGGCAUACCUGUUCGAGCGUCAUUACACCCCUCAAACUUCGCUGUUUGAUGUUGGGCAAUGCCUGGAGGCGUGCCUAAAAUUUAGCGAUGGUACAUUAAACCUCAAGCGCACAGAUGUCGUUAUGUAGGCGAGAUGGCACCAGUCUCUUAAUGAAUUGCUGAAUGUUGACCUCGGAUCAGGUAGGGAUACCCGCUGAACUUAAGCAUAUCAAUAAGCGGAGG